RNAcentral lists this ribosomal RNA (465 nucleotides) under uncultured bacterium. RNAcentral's name for it is "partial 16S ribosomal RNA". It matches the Rfam family "Bacterial small subunit ribosomal RNA", at positions 28 to 507 of the family's 1533-position model. The record is from RNAcentral.
GACGAACGCUGGCGGCGUGCUUAACACAUGCAAGUCGAACGGACAGGCCCCUUUGGGGGUGCUCGAGUGUCGAACAGGGGAGUAACACGUGAGUAACCUGCCCUUUUCUUCCGGAUAACUUCAUUAAACUGGGGCUAAUACCCGAUAGGCGUCCUUGCUCCACGGGGGGGGUUGGUAAGCUUCGUCGUUUUUGGAUGGACUCCCGGCUUAUCAGCUUGUUGGUGGGGUAGUGGCUUACCAACGCUUUGACGGGUAGCCGGCCGGAGGGGGCGACCGGCCACAUUGGGACUGAGAGACGGCCCAGACUCCUACGGGGGGCAGCAGGGGGGAAGAUUGCACAAUGGGCGGCAGCCUGAUGCAAGAAAGCCGCGGGCGGGAUGACGGCCUUCGGGUUGUAAACCGCUUUCAGCAGGGGCGAAGCUUGUGGUGACGGUACCUGCAGAAGAAGCACCGGCUAACUACGUG